This 62-nucleotide transfer RNA is filed under the name Myrmedobia distinguenda. RNAcentral describes it as "tRNA-Pro". The record is from RNAcentral. Lineage: Eukaryota; Metazoa; Arthropoda; Insecta; Hemiptera; Microphysidae.
CAGCAGAUAGUUUAAUAAAAUAUUAAUUUUGGAGAUUAAAGAUGAUUAGCUUUCUCUGUUGA